This 2754-nucleotide ribosomal RNA is filed under the name Triticum aestivum (bread wheat). Its description in RNAcentral is "partial small subunit ribosomal RNA". Lineage: Eukaryota; Viridiplantae; Streptophyta; Magnoliopsida; Poales; Poaceae. The record is from RNAcentral.
AUGGCGGAGAUUGUGAUUCUUCUAGCCAUUAAAAAGAUUGGAAUUGCCUUGGCAAAUGGAGCGGCACACCAAGCCAGCGCGUUGGUUGGAAAGUACAAGACACAACUGCAGGAGUUACAGCGCAGCAUGGAUCGUGUCAUGAGGGAGCUUCGCGUAAUGCAUGAUUUUCUUUGUCAAAUGGACAUUCGAAACCGCAACUUACAAGUGCAAGAGAGCUGGUUGGGGGAAGUACGAAAAGUAGCACAUUUGAUGGAGGACACGGUGGAUGAGUAUUUGUAUCAAGUUGGUCGGGAACAUGAUAUAGGGUGUUGCUUUUACUUGAAUAAAGGGUUCAAAAAACCAAGAUCUCUGCUUUCUUUGAACAUGAUAGCUUUCAACGUGAAGGAAAUAGAGAAAGACCUUUCACACCUGUAUGAGACAAAAAACCGUUGGGUUCCUGUGAACGGUGGGGAUACUGGCAGCUCAAAUUAUAUCGUCGAGAGGUCCCAAGAUCUAGCAAACAUCUCACGCUCGCUUGAUGAUGAAGAUCUAGUGGGGGUGGAUGAAAACAAAGAAAAACUUGUGAUGUGGUUGGCAGGUGAUGAUCUAGAACGCUCUGUGGUAGCAUUGCUCAGAAUGGGAGGGCUUGGUAAAACAACGUUAGCUGCAAGUGUCUACAAGAAGGUGAGAGAGAAAUUCCAGUGUCAUGUUUGGGUCUCCAUCUCUCAAAAUUAUUCUAAAGAAGAUGUCUUGAGGAAUAUAGUCAAGAAACUUUUUGAACAUAAUGUCAGUGUUCUAUGUAGCACUGUGGCUAUGGACAUCACGUGCCUUGAAGAGACGGUGAAGAAGUUUCUGGAGCAACAUAAGUAUUUGAUUGUGUUGGAUGAUGUUUGGACUCCAGAAGCAUUUGAUGACUUGUCUAGGGCACUUGCUCAAAAUGAUAAGGGCAGUAGAUUGAUUAUCACAACAAGGGAAGGCAGUGUUGCUGCGCUUGCCUCUCGAGGGCAUAUCUUAACAAUGGAAGCUUUACCAGAAGACAAGGCAUGGGACCUCUUUUGUAAGAAAGCCUUUCCAAGAGAUACAAAUCAUGAAUGCAAUGUGGAGUUGAAGCCUUUAUCUGAGGAAAUAGUUAGCAAGUGCAAAGGCUUGCCUCUUGCUAUUGUGUCAGUUGGUAGCCUAUUGCGUGUGCGUGAGAAAAGUAUGGAAGAAUGGAGAAGAAUAAAUAACCAAUUGAGUUGGGAGCUAAUUAAUAAUUCUAGUCUUAGUGAUAUAAGGAAUGUUUUGCAUCUGAGCUUCAUAUACCUUCCAACACACUUGAAAAGUUGUUUCUUGUACUGCAGCUUGUUUCCUGAAGACUAUCUUUUCAAAAGGAAAGAACUUGUACGAUUAUGGACAGCCGAGGGGUUCAUCGAGGAGAGGGGUGAAAGCACAUUAGAAGAAGUGGCAGAAGGCUAUCUGAAGGAGUUGAUUGAUAGAAACAUGCUACGACUUGUUAAAAGGAACAGUUUUGGUAGGAUGAAGAAAUUCAGAAUGCACGAUAUCUUACGUGAAUUGGCAAUGGACUUGUGCCAGAAGAACUGCUUUUGUGUUAAAAAUGACAAUAAAUGUGGGGAGUCUCUUCAGAAGGAUGAUGGGCGUCGAUUGGUGCUGCAUAAACUAAAAAAUGACAUGCAACAACCAUUUUCCAAUAUGCACCAACUUCGAACUGUCAUUACAUUGGGCGGUAGCAAGUCGACAUUGGAUCUACUACCUCGGCUAUGUGAUAAGUCGAGAUAUAUGACAGUGCUAGAAUUAAGUGGUCUACCCUUCGAUAGGAUUCCAAAUGCUAUUGGUGAUCUUUUUAAUCUUCGCCAUUUGGGUUUGCGUAAUACAAAAGUGAAGUUACUCCCGAAGUCUGUUACGAAGCUUUCGAAUUUGUUGACACUGGACCUUUAUAGAUCUGACAUACAUGAGUUGCCUAGUGGGAUUGUGAAACUGAAGAAGCUCAGACACUUAUUUGCUGAGAAAACUAUUGAUCCGGAUUGGAGAGGAAUUGCAUGUUGCCAUGGUGUGUGUAUCCCCAAUGAUCUCGGAAAUCUAACAAACCUGCAGACGCUAUACGCGUUGGAAGCACAAGAUGAGUCUCUUAGACUACUAGGGGAGCUGAGGCAACUAAGGAGCUUGAGGUUAUUAAAUGUGAAAGGAAGCUAUUGUGGACGUAUCAGUGAAUCUCUAGUUCAAAUGCGGCAUUUGUCCUUGCUAUCUGUGAAUGCAAGUGAUGGGAAUGAGGUUCUCCUAUUGAAUGUCCUCCUGCCAAGCCUGCAAAAGCUACGUCUGAGAGGACGGUUAGCAGAAUGGUCAUUGGAUGAGUCUCCUCUCUUCCAAGGUGUAGGCGGGCAGAACUUGUAUGAAUUGUCUCUAUAUUGGUCACAAUUGAGAGAAGACCCCCUGCCAUCCCUUUCCCGGUUGUCAAAUUUGACGUGUCUACAGUUCACAAGAGCAUACAAUGGAGAGCAGCUGACAUUUCUCUCGGGUUGGUUUCCCAAGCUAAAGAUUCUCUUUCUAAGAGACUUGCCUAAUCUGAAUCGGCUAGAGAUACAGCAAGGUGCCAUGGCGAGCCUGGAAAAAUUAUACUUAACCAACCUCAACAGCAUGACUGAGGUUCCACCGGGCAUUGAGUUCCUCCUGUCCCUCCAGUAUCUAACCUUCCGUGAAAUUACCAAUGACUUCUUGUCGGUGCUGCGCGGAUGUUCUGCAAUUGAAGGGACACAGUGGCAGCAUACUCUCCGACGUUGA